This 468-nucleotide ribosomal RNA is filed under the name uncultured bacterium. RNAcentral describes it as "partial 16S ribosomal RNA". It matches the Rfam family "Bacterial small subunit ribosomal RNA", at positions 28 to 507 of the family's 1533-position model. The record is from RNAcentral.
GACGAACGCUGGCGGCGUGCUUAACACAUGCAAGUCGAACGGAAAGGCCCUGCUUUUGUGGGGUGCUCGAGUGGCGAACGGGUGAGUAACACGUGAGUAACCUGCCCUUGACUGUGGGAUAACUUCAGGAAACUGGGGCUAAUACCGGAUAGGAGCUCCUGCUGCAUGGUGGGGGUUGGAAAGUUUCGGCGGUUGGGGAUGGACUCGCGGCUUAUCAGCUUGUUGGUGGGGUAGUGGCUUACCAAGGCUUUGAUGGGUAGCCGGCCUGAGAGGGUGACCGGGCACAUUGCGACUGAGAUACGGCCCAGACUCCUACGGGAGGCAGCAGGCGAGAAUAUUGCACAAUGGGCUGAAGCCUGAUGAAGCAACCUUGCGAGCGGGAUGACGGCCAUGUUGUUGUAAACCGCUUUCGCCUGUUACGAAGCGUUAGUGACGGUAAUGGGUAAAGAAGCACCGGCUAACUACGUG